AACCCAUGAUGAGGGCAACAUCUUAAUAGAUUUUUGUAUCUCUCCCAUGCAUCAUGUAGAGUCUCUAAAUUGAUCUGCACAAAAAAAGAGAUGUCAUUCAUCAACUU
Molecule: small nucleolar RNA, 107 nt
Organism: Gossypium arboreum
Lineage: Eukaryota; Viridiplantae; Streptophyta; Magnoliopsida; Malvales; Malvaceae
Rfam family: Plant small nucleolar RNA R71
About the family: R71 is a member of the C/D box family of snoRNAs containing the C (UGAUGA) and D (CUGA) box motifs. Multiple nearly identical copies of this snoRNA have been identified in Arabidopsis, and it is thought to function as a 2'-O-ribose methylation guide for 18S ribosomal RNA.
Source: Rfam